This 253-nucleotide ribosomal RNA is filed under the name uncultured bacterium. Its description in RNAcentral is "partial 16S ribosomal RNA". It matches the Rfam family "Bacterial small subunit ribosomal RNA", at positions 524 to 776 of the family's 1533-position model. The record is from RNAcentral.
UACGUAGGGGGCAAGCGUUGUCCGGAAUUAUUGGGCGUAAAGAGCGCGUAGGCGGUCCGGUAAGUCGGCUGUGAAAGUCAAGGGCUCAACCCUUGAAAGCCGGCCGAUACUGUCGGACUAGAGUACGGAAGAGGCGAGUGGAAUUCCUGGUGUAGCGGUGAAAUGCGCAGAUAUCAGGAGGAACACCGGUGGCGAAGGCGGGUCUCUGGGCAGUAACUGACGCUGAGACGCGAAAGCGUGGGGAGCGAACAGG